Molecule: ribosomal RNA, 402 nt
Filed under: uncultured bacterium
Lineage: Bacteria
Description: bacterial SSU rRNA
Rfam family: Bacterial small subunit ribosomal RNA
Source: RNAcentral
GAGUUUGAUCCUGGCUCAGGACAAACGCUGGCGGGGUGCAUGAGACAUGCAAGUCGAACGGGGUUGAGCGGGCUUGCUCGAUCAACCUAGUGGCGGACGGCUGAGUAACGCGUAGGUGACCUGUCCGGAAGUGGGGAAUAACUGCCCGAAAGGGUGGCUAAUACCGCAUGUGGUCGGCGAUUCGGUUCGCCGUGCAAAGCCGCAAGGCGCUUCCGGAGGGGCCUGCGUCCGAUUAGCUAGUUGGUGGGGUAACGGCUCACCAAAGGCGACGAUCGGUAGCUGGUCUGAGAGGAUGAUCAGCCAGACUGGGACUGAGAACGGCCCAGACUCCUACGGGAGGCAGCAGUCGGGAAUUUGCCCAAUGGACGAAAAGUCUGAGGCAGCAACUCCGCGUGAGGGACG